This 812-nucleotide long non-coding RNA is filed under the name Nicotiana benthamiana. RNAcentral describes it as "long non-coding RNA (NBEN_LNC006850)". The record is from RNAcentral. Lineage: Eukaryota; Viridiplantae; Streptophyta; Magnoliopsida; Solanales; Solanaceae.
UGAAAAAGGCUGACAGCCGCAAUACCUAGGACCCCACCCCUUGAUCGUCAUCUUCUCCGAACGAUCCUUCCUCCCCCGUUUUUCUUUUUUUCUCCAGUAAACAAGGAAGCAACCAUUUUUUCGAGCUUCAACAACCAAAACCAAACGAUCCUCCAUUCGUCAUCUUCUUCUUCAUUUUUGAAUACACACACAAAACUACAAUCAGGGAGCCCUUCUUUUUCACCUCAUAGCUUUUCCACCAUCUUCUUCACGCAUGAAAAACAGCCGCUAGCCAUUAUUAAAGCUCCCAUAUCUGACCACUAUUAUUACUUUGUUGUUCAAAUUCCUAGCGAGAUCCAAGUCGAGUAAAUAAAAGACAGAAGAAAAAUAAACAAAUUGGGAGAACACGACAGUGAUGAUAUUCAGUCCAAUAAUCGAACCAUGAAAUUCCAAUAUAAAUCAGCUCUAAAUCUCGCGUCCUCAACACUCAAAACGAGCCGUUUAGGUUUGUCUUUCUGGUUCAGUUUGAGCUUUUUGUCAAGCUUUUAGGUCGUUGAUGGUCGUUGCCUAGAGGGGCUCUGCUUCAGUCGUGCGUUGAGAUACAGUUUGUUUGGUUUCCGAUUUGAAUUUCGUCCGGGGUUCUAACGUUUGAGGUCUCCAAUACUGGUUAUGCUCGUUGUCGCCGGACUGGUAUGUAACUUUGGUCAAUUUUUGCCCGUUGUUGUCAUGUUCAAGAGUACUACUAAUGUUUAAUGAACCAUUUUGUUAAUUUUCUUACUUGGAUUAGUUAGUUUAUUCUCUUCAAUUUAUUGAUAAUCUAAGUUUAAUGUUUA